GACGGGCGAGUAACGCGUGAGUAACCUGCCCAUAAGAGGGGGAUAAUCCAUGGAAACGUGGACUAAUACCGCAUAUUGUAGUUAAGUUGCAUGACUUGAUUAUGAAAGAUUUAUCGCUUAUGGAUGGACUCGCGUCAGAUUAGAUAGUUGGUGAGGUAACGGCUCACCAAGUCAACGAUCUGUAGCCGAACUGAGAGGUUGAUCGGCCGCAUUGGGACUGAGACACGGCCCAGACUCCUACGGGAGGCAGCAGUGGGGAAUAUUGCGCAAUGGGGGCAACCCUGACGCAGCAACGCCGCGUGCAGGAAGAAGGUCUUCGGAUUGUAAACUGUUGUCGCAAGGGAAGAAGACAGUGACGGUACCUUGUGAGAAAGUCACGGCUAACUACGUGCCAGCAGCCGCGGUAAUACGUAGGUGACAAGCGUUGUCCGGAUUUACUGGGUGUAAAGGGCGCGUAGGCGGACUGUCAAGUCAGUCGUGAAAUACCGGGGCUUAACCCCGGGGCUGCGAUUGAAACUGACAGCCUUGAGUAUCGGAGAGGAAAGCGGAAUUCCUAGUGUAGCGGUGAAAUGCGUAGAUAUUAGGAGGAACACCAGUGGCGAAGGCGGCUUUCUGGACGACAACUGACGCUGAGGCGCGAAAGUGUGGGGAGCAAACAGGAUUAGAUACCCUGGUAGUCCACACCGUAAACGAUGGAUACUAGGUGU
Molecule: ribosomal RNA, 707 nt
Filed under: uncultured bacterium
Lineage: Bacteria
Description: bacterial SSU rRNA
Rfam family: Bacterial small subunit ribosomal RNA
Source: RNAcentral